This 356-nucleotide ribosomal RNA is filed under the name uncultured bacterium. RNAcentral describes it as "bacterial SSU rRNA". It matches the Rfam family "Bacterial small subunit ribosomal RNA", at positions 8 to 350 of the family's 1533-position model. The record is from RNAcentral.
AGAGUUUGAUCCUGGCUCAGGAUGAACGCUAGCUACAGGCUUAACACAUGCAAGUCGAGGGGAAACGACAUCGAAAGCUUGCUUUUGAUGGGCGUCGACCGGCGCACGGGUGAGUAACGCGUAUCCAACCUGCCCACCACUUGGGGAUAACCUUGCGAAAGUAAGACUAAUACCCAAUGAUAUCUCUAGAAGACAUCUGAAAGAGAUUAAAGAUUUAUCGGUGAUGGAUGGGGAUGCGUCUGAUUAGCUUGGUUGGCGGGGUAACGGCCCACCAAGGCGACGAUCAGUAGGGGUUCUGGAGAGGAACGGUCCCCCANAUUGGAACUGAGACACGGUCCAAACUCCUACGGGAGGCA